Molecule: non-coding RNA, 1709 nt
Organism: Salvelinus sp. IW2-2015
Lineage: Eukaryota; Metazoa; Chordata; Actinopteri; Salmoniformes; Salmonidae
Source: RefSeq, a predicted model, not a curated record
GUGCAGGUGUAUGAGGUAAUUGAGGUAGAUAUAUACAUAUAGGUAGGGAUAAAGUGACUAGGCAACGGCAUAGAUAAUAGUAGCGGCAGAUAAACAGUAAAAGCAGCGUAUGUGAUGAAUCAAAAGAGUUAGUGCAAAAAGGGCUGAAUAAAGAUAGUGUGGGUAGUCUGGGUGAAACAGUUUCAUGUCAGUUUCAACCAGCCUCAUAGAUGAAGCUGUUGGAAUGCAUGCCUCAAAGUUCAUGGUCGAAAAAGUAUUCAGGAAGAACAAGUGUAAAAAAAAAAAAAAAAACUGCAAAACUUGUUUGCCGUCUGAUUGUCAAAGAACAGUCUGUGCAGUACUUGUUUCAUACACAUGGAACCAGUCCUGUGAGGCAGAGCUCACUUUCGACAUUUCCAGUUUAAAAAAAAGACUGCUUACUUCUUCAUUUCAGCGUUGGAUGUCUGUUUUGACUGGAUUACCUACUUCUUCAUAUUUUUGGGAGAAUUGUUUACUUUGGUUAUAAUAUCUAAUUUAAAGGUAACAGUCUCUAAAGACUGCAGAACUUUUUUUGUUGUGAUUUCUGUUUUUGAGUGGUUCCUUGCAUCAGAGGCUAUUUGAGAAGGCUCACACACAGGUCGAUAUCACUGUUCCAUUUCCAGAGAUAUUUUUCAACAGGUUUUGGAGCAGAUUUGGGUGAUAGCAGAUUUGUUGCUCAAUACAUAGAAGCAAACCUUUGAUUUGACUUUAAAGCAAGUAUACCCUUACGGAAAAACCACAUGAAUUUCACAUGUGAACACAUGUGAAGUGUUCCAAAAACAUGUUUUCAUGUGAUCUUAUGUGAAGGUAAUGUGAUAACAUGUAAAGCAACAUGUGACACAUGUUUUCACAUGACUUCAAGUGUGACAUUUCAUGUGAAAGCAUGUGAUUUUCCACUUGUGAAGUCAUGUGGUUUUUCUGUAAGUGUAGUUUACGAUCUGUCUGUAUUAACCAAUUUGGCUUAUUACCACAGUUAUAGACAGUGUUGUACAACCUUUGGCCUCAAGUUGAAUCUGUCAAGUUGAAUCUGUUUUGCUCCAAAUACUUGUCUGUAUAUGGUCACGUGGGUCACAUGAUGUUAAAACAAGCAAAUGGGGUCUGAGAGACUUAUCAGAAGGGAAGGUUAAAGGUCAACUGAGACAACACAGUGACUUUGGAUACACCAUAUAUGUUCCAGGAAUGGGUAGACUCUGACAUUAUUGAGACCGGGUGAGAUAUUAGAACUACACAUAUUUACAUUCAGAUUCUGAUCUGCUCAAGCAUGUGCCAGUAACUUUGCCCUCGACAAGGAAGAAAAACGAAAUGAUUUGCGUGAGCUAAGGUAGAUCAUCGAACAAUCUGAGAGAUAAGGUUGCCAUUUCGGGCUCCUUGUUAUUCUGCUGUGAAUCCAGUACUUUAUAAAUCAGUACAGUAUACUAUAUCUCGAUGAAUGAGGGUAAAUACCACCACUGAACACGAUUGGAUAUGCAAACCGGUGAUGAUUCUGGAUUAGGCCAGCACCAUGGAGACACUCGGUAGCAAGAGAGAGAUGGCACUUCCAUCCCGAAGCUCUUCCCAGGCAAUAGGAGCUCUGACCCUGAGCUCUUCCCAGGCAAUAGGAGCUCCGACCGUGAGCUCUUCCCAGGCUAUAGGAGCUCUGACCGUGAGCUCUUCCCAGGUAAUAGGAGCUCCGACCCUGAGCUCUUCCCAGG